AUAAGACAUAUCGAUAAGUUUGACUUCAUAUACAUAUAUAUAAAAAAGCGUUUGGGACUAAUUUUUUCUAUUCUUAUAAAUAUUAUUCACAUCAAGAACUGUCUCCGUAUAUUUAUUUUUAUAAUUACACCAAGAGACGAUAUCUCCUCACAGAAAUUGUACAAGUGACCAUCUCUUAGCGGGUUGUGCUCGAGAAGGACAAUGCUCAUCGAAGCAACACCGAGUGUUUCGUGGCUCUAUACUCGUCUUGCUGUGAUAAGAGAAUCCCAUCAGUCCAGCUUCAUGCGUCUUCAGCAACGAACUGGUGUGGCUCCUCCUCUUCCUCGUCCCCCCUCUCCACCUAUAUUAGUUUCGCUCGGAGAAUCAGUGACGUCUGUUGCCCUCGCCAGCCUUCUCAAUUUCUUCUUCCUCUCCAGUUUGACUCCGAUUGCAAGAUGAAGGAUCGCAUCAGGAUGUCCAUAAAAAGUGACAGGUCUGGGUGAAGAUAAGUCUACUCUAAGCUGAUAGGAAUGGCUGGCACGAGUGAUGUCAACUGAUGAAGAGAUUCGUGGAAUGUCGCACCGCUGUGAUUGGUGUCCCUCGUUAUCAAGACACCUACCAGUGCAGCCGAGCGUCCAGCGAGGACAACAAAAAACGAGCAGCUGACAAGCGGACACCAUGUAGAGUGCGAGCCCGAUGCUGAUCUCUAGUAUCGUUUGUUACUUUUUUUUUUUUCCUUUGUGCUGAGGUACCAAGGGCAUGUUGGUGUAGAUUCUCAAAAAAAAAAAAAAAAGCAAACAAACAAAUGAACUUAUUUUUGUGAUGAAAUCUCGCUGUUACGAGACCAAUACGAGUAUUUGCCGACUUGUGUACGUGAAAUCCGUUGCUAUCACUCUUGGAAACGAAGAGCGUUUAAGUGGAAUUAUGUUCGUGUCAGGCUGACAGCAAGACAUUUCAGUAGUUUCAAUUUUACUGUUAAGUGCCAUAAGACCUGUCUACUUCGUGUAGAUAAUACAAGACAAUUUCAAUUUACUGUCUCACUUCAGAACUGCCUGAAUUGUAAAUAAAUGUGUAUACAUAAUA
Pomacea canaliculata is the source of this 1062-nucleotide long non-coding RNA. RefSeq lists it as uncharacterized. NCBI's taxonomy places the organism in Eukaryota, Metazoa, Mollusca, Gastropoda, Architaenioglossa, Ampullariidae. The transcript is spliced from 3 exons. The record is from RefSeq and is a predicted model, not a curated record.